UUCAGUUUUAUUGGUUGCACGCACAGUCAGUUAUUUCAUCCAGAAAAUCUGAAGGCCCUACAAACUAACCAGAACAGUAAGGGUUGAAACUGAAGGCCGAUUGUGAAUACUAUCCACCGGGAGCUUCUUAUGAAUUGACUCAUGUUCCUCAGAUAAUAAAUAACACUAAAAGACACCAGUUAGCUUCUGACCUCAAGGAGUGCUACUUUCAUCUCCUGCAAGCUUUGAAAAGGGAUCUGAUACCUGACAACAUCUUGACAAAAGCACAUCCCAUCUUCUGAUGGAAGCUGAACCAAAAUUAUUGAUGUCGCUAGUGAUUCAGGGUACUCUAGAUUGUUUGGAGUCCUAUAUAAAUACAUUUAAUAGACAAAAAAAUUGCUGCCUUAAUCUAAGCAGAAAUGACCUUAGUAGAUAGAUACUGCUUACCCCACUGAUGCAUUAGAGCUAUACUAGUUCUACUCCUAAUUCUUGAGAAGCUGUGUUUUCUCUAAUUUAUUUCCUUUUUGAUCUUCACCUAUAGUUUUGCUAGGCUUAUUUGUAACUUCUGUAUCCAUAAAUAAAUAAUCGCUGUGGCUUUAGCAUUAAAUAAUAUCUAUCUAUUUAAUAUUUUGAGUCAUCAUUUUUAUUGUGGCUAAUGAUAAUGACUGGGAAUUAACAGAAAGGUGACAGAUUUCUAAAGAUGCCUUUGAAAAAUGGCUAUUUGCCUCUGUCCUCUCACCUUUGAAAAUAAACUGUAUUUUUUAAUCUUUGUUAUCAAUGAAUAUUAUAAGAUCUGAACACUGUUAUGCUAAUAUAUAUGUGUGCAUCUAUCAUAAGAAAUAUAGAAAAUAUUUAUUACAACUAUUGGCAAGAAUGUGGAGUAACUGGAACUCUCUUACACUGCUGGUUGGAAAAUAAAAUGUUUUAAAUACUUU
Homo sapiens (human) is the source of this 914-nucleotide long non-coding RNA. RefSeq annotates it as myelination regulating oligodendrocyte associated lncRNA. Lineage: Eukaryota; Metazoa; Chordata; Mammalia; Primates; Hominidae. The transcript has 2 exons. The record is from RefSeq and is marked validated.